Molecule: long non-coding RNA, 5505 nt
Filed under: Erythranthe guttata (spotted monkey flower)
Lineage: Eukaryota; Viridiplantae; Streptophyta; Magnoliopsida; Lamiales; Phrymaceae
Description: long non-coding RNA (EGUT_LNC003602)
Source: RNAcentral
UAAAGUGUCCGGCAGACAUUCUCGAAAGUUGGACACGAAACGUGUCAAAGUGAUAGAAGUUGAAGGCCCGAGGGGAAAAUUCUCCCGAAAUUUCAAGCAUUUGAAUCUCGAUUUUCAGCUGACCGCCGACGAAGAAAAUGGUAAGAAGAAGCUCAAGGUAGACGCCUGGUUCGGCAGCCGGAAAACAACCGCCUCCAUUCACACCGCCCUCAGCCACGUGUCGAAUCUGAUUAACGGCGUUACUAAGGGUCACCGUUAUAAGUUGCGUUUUGUGUACGUCCAUUUUCCUAUCAACGCUUCCAUCACCAACAGCGGCACCGCAAUUGGGAUCCGCAAUUUCUUGGGCGAGAAGAAGGUUUGGAAUUUGAAAAAAAAAAACUAAUACAACUUUUUAUUUGUUUAUUUUGGCAAAAUCGAAAUAGGAUUGAUCCAUUUUAAGAUUGAACGAUUGACAAGACACCGGAUACUUAUCGAACACUUGUUGGGCUAUUUUUGUAUUUACCGAAAAAAGAAGAAGCAACAAAUACUUAUCGAGCCAAGGGAUGGGGUCCCUAGGGGCGAGGGAUUUCACCUUUUGGUACAAGAAUGAAAAAAGAAAGAUAAACAGAUAUUUUGUAAAAAAAAAUUAAAAAAUGUUAAAUGCAUAUAUGAAAUAUUAUAUGCAUAUAAAUAAAAUGAUAAUUGCAGUUUGAAAUUUACUUAAUGCAUAUUUUGAAUUUGUGAGUGGAGGGGCAUUUUUUGAAUGAAUUUUAUAAAGGGUCCAUUUGAUAUACACCCUUAAUAUGGAAAAUAUAUAGGGAUAGGUCCACCCCUAAAAUUCUUCCUUUGAGAUAACCCCUGGAGAGGCAAAAGUACUAUUGUGCCCUUAUAUCUAAUUUUGCCCAACUGCAUUCAGUAUUUUUACUAACUGCAUUCAGCAUUAUGAUCAACUGCAACUAACAUUUAGACCUGCAUUUAUCAUAUUAUCAGAUUUUUUUAAUAAAAAAUUAUAAAUGUUUAUUUUAUUAUUAUUUUUUAUAUAUACCUCUGUUGUAUUUUUAAUUUUUUAAUUUUUUUAAUUUUUUUAAUUUUUUAAAAUUGUUUAAUUUUUGAUUUUUUUGAAUUUUGAAUUUUUUUAAUUUUUUAAAAUUUUUAUUUUCUUUUAAUUUUUUAAUUUUUUUAAUUUUUUAAUUUUUUUAAUUUUUUUAAUUUUUUUAAUUUUUAAUUUUUAAUUUUGUUUCAAUAUUUUGAUAAAUUUACUGUAUUGAAAUUGACUACACAUGACUAUUGUAUAUAUAUAUUGGUGCAAUAUAUAUUACAUAUGAUUAUAUAAAAAAAACUUCAUCUACACUAAAUACAAAAAUUCACAAUAUAAUCUUGAUAUUAUAAAUCAAUUAAUACCCAACAAAAAAUUGGAAAAACACAAUCAUCAACAUCACUAUACAUCAGAAAAAACACAUAACUUAUAUAGCUUAUAUAUAACAAUAUAUUACUACGAGUUACUACACGUGACCAUAUAUGACUACACGUAUAUGACUACAUAUGACUAUAUAUGACUACAUGUAUAUGACUACACGUGACUAUAUAUGACUACAUGUAUAUGACUACACGUGACUAUAUAUGACUACAUUUAUAUGACUACACGUGACUAAAUAUGACUAUAUGUAUAUGACCACGUGUGACUAUAUAUGACUUGAUAACGCAAAUCUCUCCUACACUGAAACAAGUACAACCAAGUUUCGAAUAAGACGUAAUUGUCGAGAAACUGCCGGUCCUCCCACUGUAUCAUCAUCGACUCGCCUGACAGACUCCUCAUCCAACACGAGAGUAGCUUCUAGAGUUGGUACAAAUCUGCUUGUUGAAGCAAAUGUCUCAAAGAACAAUUGCCAUGAUACUGAACAUAAAAAUAAUUCAGACCCUCAAUCAUAUUGGAAAUAUGAAAUCAUUAGCACAUUAACUAACAGAAUAAAUGAAAACGGGAGCACCCCUUUAGAUUGACUUUUUGAGAAAGAGAAACUUACACCAUGUACUAGAGUAAAUGAACCACUGUCAUCAUUUGUGGAUGAACAUAUAUAGCCAUGAACUUGAACCGAGUAAGAAUGGUACAUUACUCUACGGUGAGCCAGUCUUUUCAAUACCUGAAUGUAAUUUCACCAAGAAGACAUCAAAGUCGGACAAUAUAUCACCAUUUUCAAAAUGUAGCUUACUAAUGUGUCAACUUAGCAUACCUCUAUUGCCCUUCUUCCCCUACGUUGCGCCUGAUUGCUAACCAGUCGCCGAAGCACGACUUUCUUAUUGAACAGUGGACUGCAUUACUAGAAAGAGAGCAUUAUUAGAAUUUCUAUUUCUCUUCAUGAUACUUCGGUUGAUAAAAUCCUGAAACGAAUGCCGUAAAUCAAAACAUACCUACUAGCUUCAUUCACUGUAGCUUCAUAUACAAUUUCAUCACCCUGCAUUACAACUCAACAAAAGCACAAUGAACACAGUCAGAUCAUAGCAACAUGAAACUUUAUGAACUCAAUCUUACAACAUAAAUAGCAAGAGAAGCCAAUAAACUGCUACUUACCCUAAUAAUUACAUGUAGUCAUGUACCUUUUUUUGCCCCAAUAUCCAUUUUCCAAACAAUUCACCAAGAAAUUGAUUACAGGAAAAGAAAAUAAUCAAACACAAUACAAUUGAAAUUAUUAAUAAAAUUAAAAUCAUCUUUCUCAAAAUCAUCUUUCUCUCUCCAUUUUUCCUUUAUUGCAUUCAUUUUAUUAAUAUACACAUUGAACAGACAGGGUGAGUUUAUGAGCAUACCCUCUCAAAAUCAUCUUUCUCUCUCCAGUUUUCCUCUGCAUUCAUUUUAUUAAUAUAUAUAUUGAACAAUUGGAACAGGAAAAUUCAGAGAAAAUAAUAAAUUAAUAAAAUAUGAAGAAAAAAGACUUACGGCUAGAUUAUCACCAGAGGUAGUUGUCUACCUGGAACGGGAUCCCGUGCGGCGGAAUAUGGAUCCCGUUCUCCUCGUAAUCGUCGUCGAUCUCCGUUCGACGAUUCUCUUUGCAGGCGUUAUCUUCUUGCCGACCUUCGGCUUCUUCUGUGCUUCCGCCGCCGCCGCUUCACGUCUUCCGCCAACGCAGGAAGAAAUUUUCGAUCGGGUGGCGGAGAAGAACGGGUGGUGCUCCGACGAUGUGAAGCUACGCAGACCGCCGUUCUCCACCAUGAUUCCCGCAACCUUCGCCGCUGCUCUCAUCGCGCCGCCUCCCAUGUUAUUUUCAGAUUUGGUGGAGAAUAAUUUCGAAGAAAGAAAAGAGUGAACGAGAGAGAUAGAGAAGGAGAGAUGAAGAGAGUGAUGUAACGGCGAUUGUGGGUUUGAUGAGAGAGAGAAUGUUAGGGUUAGGGUAUAUAUUGAAUUUAAAUUAAAAGGGCAAAAUAGGUAUUUUAAAUUGUCUAGGGGGGUCUCACUAAUUAAGAUCAGGAUUUGGGUUUUUGACUAGGAGAAAAAAAUUUAUUGGGCCUCCUCAUAUAUAUUUUCAAAACAAGGGGGGUAUCACUCAUUUCCCCUUUUAUAAAUGAUGUGAAGCAAAUGUUUAGUUGAGCUUGUCAUUUAGUUCUAAUAUAUUUUAUCACUAGAGACCUAUAUUCUAAGACCCCUAAGAAAUAGGAAAUGGUGUAGGAUAGAAGAUGCCCUUAGUCCAAAUAAAGUUAUGCCUGUAAAUAUGCCUAAUAGAGAUUUUUAAAAAAUUGUAGAAGACUUUCUAGAAUUCUUUAUUAGUAGAUAUUUGGUAGGAAUUCUUUAGAGUAUAAGUGGACAAAUCCUAGCUUUUAUAUCAAAUAAAUCUCUAUCGUCUUUUAAGAAGAUAACCUAAUAUAAAUAGAAGUAGAAAUUUCAUUUGUAAGCAUGCAAAAAAAUCAUAUUAUGACUUUGUAUUCUAAAAAACCGUAUUAUUCUCCCUUUUAUAUAAACAACUUUUUUAUUUAUAUUGCAAAGGUAAAAAAGAGAGUCCUAAUUUAUAUUUGAUGGCAACGUAUCUGUCUGAUGAAAAGUGAUAUCGUAUAAUCAUAUAUAUUCAGCAACCGCCGCUGCCGCCAUGGUUUCAAAGAAAAAUAUAUAUUCAGCAACCGCCGCCACCGCCAUGGAUUCAAAGAAAAACGUAAAAAUCAACGACAACCAGUUGAGGGAGAUACUCGUCCACCUGCCUCCAAAAACCCUUUUCAAGUUCAUGACCGUCUCCAAGAGGUGGAAAUAUCUCAUCAACGAUCCUACCUUUCUUAAGUUCCAUAACAACAAACAACGGCGCCGCUCCUCCAUCGUCGCCGGAGAGGACAACGGUCAUCUGCUGGCACUGUUCCAAUUAACAACCAAACACUUGUCUAGCAGAUACCGCCGCCAUCCUUCGGAACCCCUAAUGAACAUCCUCGUCGUUAUUCCCGCCGGAAAUCCCGAAAUAAUGUGCGUCGAAAAGGAACUAGGAUACUUCAUCCACUCCUCUGAGGGUUUAGUCCUCUGCGGCCGCCACCCGUCCACCUACCACAUCAUGAACCCGGUGACCAAAAAGUGGGUCCCACCGCCACCGCCGUCACGUCGUCGUUUCAACCAACAAUACUCUCGUGAUUGGACGAUCGGAUUGAUGGCCACCGCGUGGGAGGGGACAACAGCUACAUAGUCGUUCGAGCUGCCGUGACGGAUGAUCCCGACCAUCCAUUGCCCAUCGAGACCUACUCAUCGACGACCGGCGAGUGGGUCCCAUCGACGCUCGUUGGCACGGGGAUUCGUCCAAUAUGAAUUUAAUAGGGGAAACAAAGAUGAAGGGAAAUAACUUUUACUUUUGCAAUUUUGUAUUCCUGUGUUUAACUAAAUAAUUUUACUUUUGUUUGGUUAAAUCGGUUAUGAUUAACUAAAUAAUUUUAGUGCAGAUAACAGUUUAUCCCUUGAAAAUUUGAUUUUGGCACUAAAGCCCUUAUAAAUAUAAAAAACAGAAUUUCCCGCUUGAAAAUAUAUAAUUAAUUGCAUAUUGCCCCAUAGUUUAGAUUUGUCCCGGAGAAAUAUAUUUUUAAAUAGAUAUUAUUUUUUAAUUUGGUUUAAUUUAAUUCAAUUUUUAUUUCGUAUAAAUAUUAAAAGUAGUGGUAUAUUUAUAAGUAUGCUAUAUAAACAUAUAUAAAUUUUUAUUUAUAUAUAAUCUUUUUUCUCAUACACACACAUUCAAAUUAUCUUUUAAUCUUAACUAUCAAUUUUUCAUUGAUCGUUGAUUAUGUAAAUAAUUAUGUAAAAAACAAAAAUAUUGUAAAAAUUGCUAUUCAAACAUGUCUUUAACUUUUUAAAAAUUGCAAAAUAUCCCAUAAAGUGUACGACAGACAUUCUCGAAAGUCGGACACGCAAGGUGUCAAAGUGAUAGAAGUCGAAGACCCGAGAGGAAAACUCUCCCGAAAUUUCAAGCAUUUGAAUCUCGAUUUUCAGCUGACCGCCGAAGAAGAAACCGGUAAGAAGAAGCUCAAGAUAAACACCUGGUUCGGCAGCCGGAAAACAACCGCCUCCAUUCGUACCGC